Molecule: ribosomal RNA, 492 nt
Filed under: uncultured bacterium
Lineage: Bacteria
Description: partial 16S ribosomal RNA
Rfam family: Bacterial small subunit ribosomal RNA
Source: RNAcentral
AGUGAACGCUGGCGGUAGGCCUAACACAUGCAAGUCGAACGGCAGCACAGUAAGAGCUUGCUCUUACGGGUGGCGAGUGGCGGACGGGUGAGGAAUACAUCGGAAUCUACUUUUUCGUGGGGGAUAACGUAGGGAAACUUACGCUAAUACCGCAUACGACCUACGGGUGAAAGCAGGGGAUCUUCGGACCUUGCGCGAUUGAAUGAGCCGAUGUCGGAUUAGCUAGUUGGCGGGGUAAAGGCCCACCAAGGCGACGAUCCGUAGCUGGUCUGAGAGGAUGGUCGGCCACACGGGAACUGAAACACGGUCCAGGCUCCUACGGGAAGCAGCAGGAGGGAAAUUUUGGCAAUGGGGGGAAGCCUUAACCAACCAAACCGCGUGGGUGAAAGAGGGCUUUGGGGUUGAAAACCCUUUUUGUGGGGAAGAAAAAAUGGAGGAUUAAACCCCCACUGUUUGACGGUAACCAAAAAAAAAGCCACGGCUAACUUCGUG